UACGGAGGGUGCAAACGUUGCUCGGAAUUAUUGGGCGUAAAGCGCACGUAGGCGGUCUUUUAAGUCGGAUGUGAAAGCCCCGGGCUCAACCCGGGAAGUGCAUUCGAAACUGGAAGGCUAGAGUACAGAAGAGGGUCUCGGAAUUCCCGGUGUAGAGGUGAAAUUCGUAGAUAUCGGGAGGAACACCAGUGGCGAAGGCGGAGACCUGGGCUGAUACUGACGCUGAGGUGCGAAAGCGUGGGGAGCAAACAGG
Molecule: ribosomal RNA, 253 nt
Filed under: uncultured bacterium
Lineage: Bacteria
Description: partial 16S ribosomal RNA
Rfam family: Bacterial small subunit ribosomal RNA
Source: RNAcentral